Molecule: ribosomal RNA, 640 nt
Filed under: Bacillus sp. Ni34
Lineage: Bacteria; Bacillati; Bacillota; Bacilli; Caryophanales; Bacillaceae
Description: bacterial SSU rRNA
Rfam family: Bacterial small subunit ribosomal RNA
Source: RNAcentral
UUCGCUACCCGCGUGCCUAAUUCAUGCAAGUCGACCGGACAGAUGGGAGCUUGCUCCCUGAUGUUAGCGGCGGACGGGUGAGUAACACGUGGGUAACCUGCCUGUAAGACUGGGAUAACUCCGGGAAACCGGGGCUAAUACCGGAUGGUUGUUUGAACCGCAUGGUUCAGACAUAAAAGGUGGCUUCGGCUACCACUUACAGAUGGACCCGCGGCGCAUUAGCUAGUUGGUGAGGUAACGGCUCACCAAGGCGACGAUGCGUAGCCGACCUGAGAGGGUGAUCUGCCACACUGGGACUGAGACACGGCCCAAACUCCUACGGGAGGCAGCAGUAGGGAAUCUUCCGCAAUGGACGAAAGUCUGACGGAGCAACGCCGCGUGAGUGAUGAAGGUUUUCGGAUCGUAAAGCUCUGUUGUUAGGGAAGAACAAGUGCCGUUCAAAUAGGGCGGCACCUUGACGGUACCUAACCAGAAAGCCACGGCUAACUACGUGCCAGCAGCCGCGGUAAUACGUAGGUGGCAAGCGUUGUCCGGAAUUAUUGGGCGUAAAGGGCUCGCAGGCGGUUUCUUAAGUCUGAUGUGAAAGCCCCGGCUCACCGGGGAGGGUCAUUGGAACUGGGGACCUUGAGUCAAAAAGGAA